This 424-nucleotide ribosomal RNA is filed under the name uncultured bacterium. RNAcentral's name for it is "bacterial SSU rRNA". It matches the Rfam family "Bacterial small subunit ribosomal RNA", at positions 917 to 1344 of the family's 1533-position model. The record is from RNAcentral.
GGGCCCGCACAAGCGGUGGAGCAUGUGGUUUAAUUCGAUGAUACGCGAGGAACCUUACCAGGGCUUAAAUGUUAGGUGACAGAUCUAGAAAUAGAUUUUUCUUCGGACACUUAACAAGGUGCUGCAUGGUUGUCGUCAGCUCGUGCCGUGAGGUGUCAGGUUAAGUCCUAUAACGAGCGCAACCCCUGUUGUUAGUUGCCAGCGAGUAAUGUCGGGAACUCUAGCAAGACUGCCAGUGCAAACUGUGAGGAAGGUGGGGAUGACGUCAAAUCAUCACGGCCCUUACGUCCUGGGCUACACACGUGCUACAAUGGUAGGUACAGAGAGCAGCCAAUGCGCGAGCAUGAGCAAAUCUGUAAAGCCUGUCACAGUUCGGAUCGGAGUCUGCAACUCGACUCCGUGAAGCUGGAGUCGCUAGUAAUCG